GACGAACGCUGGCGGCGUGCUUAACACAUGCAAGUCGAACGCUGAAGCUUGGUGCUUGCACUGGGUGGAUGAGUGGCGAACGGGUGAGUGAUACGUGAGUAACCUGCCCUUGACUCUGGGAUAAGCCUGGGAAACUGGGUCUAAUACUGGAUACGACAUGUCACCGCAUGGUGGUGUGUGGAAAGGGUUUUACUGGUUUUGGAUGGGCUCACGGCCUAUCAGCUUGUUGGUGGGGUAAUGGCUCACCAAGGCGACGACGGGUAGCCGGCCUGAGAGGGUGACCGGCCACACUGGGACUGAGACACGGCCCAGACUCCUACGGGAGGCAGCAGUGGGGAAUAUUGCACAAUGGGCGGAAGCCUGAUGCAGCGACGCCGCGUGAGGGAUGACGGCCUUCGGGUUGUAAACCUCUUUCAGCACGGAAGAAGCGAAAGUGACGGUACGUGCAGAAGAAGCGCCGGCUAACUACGUG
RNAcentral lists this ribosomal RNA (472 nucleotides) under uncultured bacterium. RNAcentral describes it as "partial 16S ribosomal RNA". It matches the Rfam family "Bacterial small subunit ribosomal RNA", at positions 28 to 507 of the family's 1533-position model. The record is from RNAcentral.